Molecule: ribosomal RNA, 443 nt
Filed under: uncultured Anaerolineaceae bacterium
Lineage: Bacteria; Bacillati; Chloroflexota; Anaerolineae; Anaerolineales; Anaerolineaceae
Description: bacterial SSU rRNA
Rfam family: Bacterial small subunit ribosomal RNA
Source: RNAcentral
ACAAGCAGCGGAGCGUGUGGUUUAAUUCGAUGAUACACGAAGAACCUUACCAAGGUUUGACAUGCAAGUGGUAGUGAACUGAAAGGGAACGACCCUUCGGGGAGCUUGCACAGGUGCUGCAUGGCUGUCGUCAGCUCGUGUCGUGAGAUGUUCGGUUAAGUCCGCUAACGAGCGCAACCCUCACUGUGUGCUAUACGUGUCACACGGGACCGCCGGUUUUAAGCCGGAGGAAGGUGGGGAUGACGUCAAGUCAGCAUGGCCUUUAUAUCUUGGGCCACACACACGCUACAAUGGCCAGUACAAUGGGAUGCCAAGCCGCAAGGCGGAGCCAACCCUCAAAGCUGGUCUCAGUUCGGAUUGCAGGCUGCAACUCGCCUGCAUGAAGCCGGAACCGCUAGUAAUCGCGGAUCAGCAUGCCCGCGGUCGAAUACGUUCCGGGCCUU